This 441-nucleotide long non-coding RNA is filed under the name Mus spretus (western wild mouse). RNAcentral's name for it is "predicted gene 42738 (ENSMSPG00010040622.1)". Lineage: Eukaryota; Metazoa; Chordata; Mammalia; Rodentia; Muridae. The record is from RNAcentral.
GUCUUUUUCCUGCCACCGAAUAAGGGAUGAUCACACACACGCCCCACUCCACCCCCACCUCGGCGCACAGUUCCUCUGUGAAGGGACAAGCGGGAUGGGGAAAGUUUGGCACCACGGCGUUGGUGGUGGCAGCAAGCAGCAGCGGCGGCACACAGGGGUCCCAGUGGGAGGCAGGGUCGCUGAAAACCCCGGCCCGGUCGCCUCCUUACCUCGGUGCUUUCGACUGCGUUCUCCGCCAUUUUCCUCCGGAGGAGCAGGCAGCGGGAGGAGUGUUUCAUGCCCAUAAGAGCCAACAAGGGUUUGGGGAUUCGAGAUAGUAAAGAACGAGAGACGGCUGAUGUGGCUUUAAAAGAGAGCCUAAGAAUGCAAGAGGAGGGGGGAAAAAUCCCAGCCAGCCCCUCUCCCGGAGCGUCCUCCGCGACAAUCGAGCUCUGUGGAGUC